GAACCAGACUCCUACGGGAGGCAGCAGUGGGGAAUAUUGCACAAUGGGGGAAACCCUGAUGCAGCGACGCCGCGUGAGCGAUGAAGUAUUUCGGUAUGUAAAGCUCUAUCAGCAGGGAAGAAGAUGACGGUACCUGACUAAGAAGCCCCGGCUAACUACGUGCCAGCAGCCGCGGUAAUACGUAGGGGGCAAGCGUUAUCCGGAUUUACUGGGUGUAAAGGGGGCGCAGACGGCGAUGCAAGCCAGGAGUGAAAGCCCGGGGCCCAACCCCGGGACUGCUCUUGGAACUGCGUGGCUAGAGUGCAGGAGGGGCAGGCGGAAUUCCUGGUGUAGCGGUGAAAUGCGUAGAUAUUAGGAGGAACACCAGUGGCGAAGGCGGCCUGCUGGGCUUUAACUGACGCUGAGGCUCGAAAGCGUGGGGAGCAAACAGGAUUAGAUACCCGUGUA
Molecule: ribosomal RNA, 447 nt
Filed under: uncultured bacterium
Lineage: Bacteria
Description: bacterial SSU rRNA
Rfam family: Bacterial small subunit ribosomal RNA
Source: RNAcentral